RNAcentral lists this transfer RNA (70 nucleotides) under Aeneolamia contigua. RNAcentral describes it as "tRNA-Met". The record is from RNAcentral. Lineage: Eukaryota; Metazoa; Arthropoda; Insecta; Hemiptera; Cercopidae.
UAAAAGGUAAGCUAAUACAAGCUAAUGGGCUCAUACCUCAUUCAUAGAAACAAAAAUUUUCUCCUUUUAA